Molecule: ribosomal RNA, 1402 nt
Filed under: Clavibacter michiganensis subsp. michiganensis
Lineage: Bacteria; Bacillati; Actinomycetota; Actinomycetes; Micrococcales; Microbacteriaceae
Description: bacterial SSU rRNA
Rfam family: Bacterial small subunit ribosomal RNA
Source: RNAcentral
UGCUUACACAUGCAGUCGAACGGUGAUGUCAGAGCUUGCUCUGGCGGAUCAGUGGCGAACGGGUGAGUAACACGUGAGUAACCUGCCCCCGACUCUGGGAUAACUGCUAGAAAUGGUAGCUAAUACCGGAUAUGACGAUUGGCCGCAUGGUCUGGUCGUGGAAAGAAUUUCGGUUGGGGAUGGACUCGCGGCCUAUCAGGUUGUUGGUGAGGUAAUGGCUCACCAAGCCUACGACGGGUAGCCGGCCUGAGAGGGUGACCGGCCACACUGGGACUGAGACACGGCCCAGACUCCUACGGGAGGCAGCAGUGGGGAAUAUUGCACAAUGGGCGAAAGCCUGAUGCAGCAACGCCGCGUGAGGGAUGACGGCCUUCGGGUUGUAAACCUCUUUUAGUAGGGAAGAAGCGAAAGUGACGGUACCUGCAGAAAAAGCACCGGCUAACUACGUGCCAGCAGCCGCGGUAAUACGUAGGGUGCAAGCGUUGUCCGGAAUUAUUGGGCGUAAAGAGCUCGUAGGCGGUUUGUCGCGUCUGCUGUGAAAUCCCGAGGCUCAACCUCGGGUCUGCAGUGGGUACGGGCAGACUAGAGUGCGGUAGGGGAGAUUGGAAUUCCUGGUGUAGCGGUGGAAUGCGCAGAUAUCAGGAGGAACACCGAUGGCGAAGGCAGAUCUCUGGGCCGUAACUGACGCUGAGGAGCGAAAGCAUGGGGAGCGAACAGGAUUAGAUACCCUGGUAGUCCAUGCCGUAAACGUUGGGAACUAGAUGUGGGGACCAUUCCACGGUCUCCGUGUCGCAGCUAACGCAUUAAGUUCCCCGCCUGGGGAGUACGGCCGCAAGGCUAAAACUCAAAGGAAUUGACGGGGGCCCGCACAAGCGGCGGAGCAUGCGGAUUAAUUCGAUGCAACGCGAAGAACCUUACCAAGGCUUGACAUAUACCGGAAACAUGCAGAAAUGUGUGCCCCGCAAGGUCGGUAUACAGGUGGUGCAUGGUUGUCGUCAGCUCGUGUCGUGAGAUGUUGGGUUAAGUCCCGCAACGAGCGCAACCCUCGUUCUAUGUUGCCAGCACGUAAUGGUGGGAACUCAUAGGAGACUGCCGGGGUCAACUCGGAGGAAGGUGGGGAUGACGUCAAAUCAUCAUGCCCCUUAUGUCUUGGGCUUCACGCAUGCUACAAUGGCCGGUACAAAGGGCUGCGAUACCGUAAGGUGGAGCGAAUCCCAAAAAGCCGGUCUCAGUUCGGAUUGAGGUCUGCAACUCGACCUCAUGAAGUCGGAGUCGCUAGUAAUCGCAGAUCAGCAACGCUGCGGUGAAUACGUUCCCGGGCCUUGUACACACCGCCCGUCAAGUCAUGAAAGUCGGUAACACCCGAAGCCAGUGGCCUAACCGCAAGGGAGGAGCUUCGAAG